UGAGAGAUGGGAGGACAUUUAUAACACGUCUGAUAUGAGAGAUGGGAGGACAUUUAUAAACACGUCUGAUAUGAGAGAUGGGAGGAGACAUUUAUAACACGUCUGAUAUGAGAGAUGGGAGGGAGACAUUUAUAAACACGUCUGAUAUAAGAGAUGGGAGGACAUUUAUAACACGUCUGAUAUGAGAGAUGGGAGGACAUUUAUAACACGUCUGAUAUGAGAGAUGGGAGGACAUUUAUAACACGUCUGAUAUGAGAGAUGGGAGGACAUUUAUAACACGUCUGAUAUGAGAGAUGGGAGGACAUUUAUAACACACGUCUGAUAUGAGAGAUGGGAGGACAUUUAUAUCACGUCUGAUAUGAGAGAUGGGAGGACAUUUAUAACACGUCUGAUAUGAGAGAUGGGAG
Molecule: long non-coding RNA, 407 nt
Filed under: Salmo salar (Atlantic salmon)
Lineage: Eukaryota; Metazoa; Chordata; Actinopteri; Salmoniformes; Salmonidae
Description: lncRNA (ENSSSAG00000082714.1)
Source: RNAcentral